Molecule: ribosomal RNA, 813 nt
Filed under: uncultured bacterium
Lineage: Bacteria
Description: bacterial SSU rRNA
Rfam family: Bacterial small subunit ribosomal RNA
Source: RNAcentral
GCGUAAGGAGCGUAGGCGGGCAGUCAAGUCUGAUGUGAAAUCUAGAUGUGCGGUAAUGCAUUGGAAACUGGUUACCUAGAGAGGGAGGGGGAGAUGGAAUUAGUGGUGUAGGGGUAAAAUCCGUAGAUAUCACUAGGAAUACCGAAAGCGAAGGCGAUCUCCUGGAACAAUACUGACGCUAAGGCGUGAAAGCGUGGGGAGCAAACGGGAUUAGAUACCCCGGUAGUCCACGCCCUAAACGAUGUUCACUAGUCGUCGGAAUGCUAGUCAUUUCGGUGAUGCACUUAACAGAUUAAGUGAACCGCCUGGGGAGUACGGUCGCAAGAUUAAAACUCAAAGGAAUAGACGGGGACCCGCACAAGUGGUGGAGCAUGUGGUUUAAUUCGAAUUUUUUUUUUUAGAACCUUACCUAGCCUUGACAUUGAAGAAACACUUUAGAGAUAGAGUGGUGCCCUUCGGGGAAUCUGAAAACAGGUGCUGCACGGCUGUCGUCAGCUCGUGUCGUGAGAUGUUGGGUUAAGUCCCGCAACGAGCGCAACCCUCGUCCUUAGUUGCCAGCAGGUUAAGCUGGGCACUUUAAGGAGACUGCCUUCGCAAGGAGGAGGAAGGUGAGGACGACGUCAAGUCAUCAUGGCCCUUAUGGCUAGGGCUACACACGUGCUACAAUGGGGGCGUACAGAGAGUUGCGAUACCGCGAGGUGGAGCCAAUCUCAUAAAGCGUCUCUCAGUUCGGAUUGGAGUCUGCAACUCGACUCCAUGAAGCUGGAAUCACCUAGUAAUCGUAGAUCAGCAAUGCUACCGGUGGAAUUACGU